GUCUUUAUUAUUGUCUCAACUAACUCUGUCAAACAAACAAGCGUAAACAUCAAGGCCUUGCGACCUUGUGCUAAUGUUGUGAGUACUGCGCAAGCGCAGCCUCGCAAAGAUUUGUAAUGAUCCUUCCGCAGGUUCACCUACGGAAA
This 146-nucleotide unclassified non-coding RNA is filed under the name uncultured fungus. Its description in RNAcentral is "sequence contains ITS1". The record is from RNAcentral. Lineage: Eukaryota; Fungi.